UGCCGUCCUGCUUGCCUUGCCCUCCGGCCUAGGAUCGGCCUGCAAACUGCAGAGCUCUUCUCUCCCUGCCUCUCAGCAGAUCGGCGGGUGGGUGGGGCUUACAGAGAGGCCUCUGUGCAGGCCUCCCUGAAGCCUGAACUCGGCAGGCCCCAAGCAAGCAAGGAGGCAGGCAGGCAGAGUUCUCUGCAGCAGAAGACCUUCUGCCCAGACCAUUCAGCACAGCUUUUGUCAGAUCCUAUUAUUGGCUCAGCUGGUAGUUAAGCAAACACUGUCAAGCAACAGCUCUUGCCACCCACCUGAUUGCAGCAUGAAAAUUAUUUGCUAAGGAAUUAUGCAUCCACUGAGUGUGCUAAGCAGAAGGCAGAUAUGACACUGAGAAGGAGCCAAUUCCUUUAUAAAUCUUCUCAGGAGGAAGAUGAGGGACUUAAGCAUGGUUACUGAAUAGAAUGGCUUGCUUCUUGCACCUGUGCAAUUUAAGUGCUUCACUUCAUUCUUGGAGCCUGGGCUGGAACUGCAGAAUAAAAUGGAAAUAGAUACA
Molecule: long non-coding RNA, 538 nt
Organism: Hemicordylus capensis (graceful crag lizard)
Lineage: Eukaryota; Metazoa; Chordata; Lepidosauria; Squamata; Cordylidae
Exons: 2
Source: RefSeq, a predicted model, not a curated record